CUUGCCAUCUGCAUAUAAGUUAUUGCACUGAAAACUUUAUUAAGCUUUUAUUUGCUGAUUAUAGUUAACUAAUGUUUAAGGUAAUUUUGUUUGUAUGUAUGUAUGAAUGAAUAUGCAAAUUGGCUUGCUUAAUCUGCUAGAGUAGACAUUUUGUAUCCAGGUUGGAGCUCUAAUCCACCUGAUCAGUUAGAAGCUCUUUUGCUUAAGGAUAGGAUGUAUGGAGAUUUUAGUUUAUGAAUGAUAUUAUCUUAUUUUGAUAAAAAAAAAAAAGGUAAUUUUAUUUGUAGUUAUUGUUAACUUGUUAAAAUAAUGAAAAGAGAAAAUGAAAGAUCUGUUUGAUGUUGAAUGGAUUUAUUUUUCCAUCUAGUUAUCGGUAUUCUUAAUUAUUCAUAUCUGUUUGACGUAGAAUUGGAUAAAACAAGAAAAAUGAA
This 431-nucleotide unclassified non-coding RNA is filed under the name Hevea brasiliensis (rubber tree). Lineage: Eukaryota; Viridiplantae; Streptophyta; Magnoliopsida; Malpighiales; Euphorbiaceae. The record is from RNAcentral.